GUUUCCCUCAAUUUAAAAAAAAUGCACCGAAAGGAACGAUGUCGUUUAUCUGAAUUUCCGCAUAUAGGAGCCAACGCAAUAGGCUCCAUACUCCAUAGUAACUGCAUAACCGAAACAUUUAUUCUCUUGCUCCCUCACUCCGUCUCUCUGCGUCUCCAUGUGCUCCAUUUUCAUAUAUCAUCACCACACAAUCUUUAGGUUUUACUUUAGAUCUGAAUUCAAACGGGAAUUCUUUUCGCUUGCAUACUCUCGCAGUUGUGUAUUCAAAUCGACAUUAUAAAUAGCCAAUGGGAGUAGUUAUUGAGAGCUCCGUUUGGGAACCGAAUCCCUCCAUAUACAUCUUCCUCUUCGUUUGUUGUUGCUUCUCGAUCUUUCUUUUCCCUUACGCCUCUAACCACCACAGAACCUCCACAAUUUUCGAUCAUGGAAUCUCUUCCUCCUUUCUCCGUUUCCAACGCAACUUCCUCUUCGUUUAUUCUCUCGCUUCAGUGAUGGAAGGUCUGUGGUCAGUGUUCGGGGAGUAUGAGUUAGCUUCGUAUGGACUCAGCCGAAAACAGAUGAUCGAGUCUCUGUACUAUGGAUACACAACGGCUCUCUUCGCUGCUCCUUUCCUUGGCGUGCUUUCAGAUUUGAUAGGUCACAAGAAAGUCUCCCUAAUCUUUUGCAUCCUACACCUGUUUGCUGGCAUAUGGAAGAGGUUUUCAGAGCAACCAAGCAUUUUUAUGACUAGCAUAUAUCUCUCUCUGGCCAGUACUAUAUUUUUAUUCAGUUUUGAGACUUGGAUGGUCACUCAACAUGAAAAGCAAGGGCACAGGCAAGAUUCACUUAAUGACACAUUUUGGUUAAUGACUUUCUUUGAGUCUGCAUGGUUAAUUGCCAGCCAAAUGUUUGCAAAUUGGCUUAUUGGUAAUAGUACAGACAAAAACAUUGCUCCUUCCUCUACUAUUAUCAUCCUGGCAACCAUAUGCUUUACUUUUGUCACCAGAGGAUGGACAGAAACCCCAGGAGCAGGGACUUUUAAAGAGUAUAGUAGGUCCUUCUAUGCAUAUAUUUUUGGUGAUAAGAGGAUAUGGCUGUUAACCUGGGCACAAAUGUGCCUUCACUUUUCAAUUGGAAUUUUUUGGAUCCUCUGGGCGCCUACUGUGGUGGCUGAUGGGCGAGAGGUGCAAUUAGGAUUGAUAUAUCCUUCUUUUUUGGCAUCAAGGAUGAUAGGAAGCACCAUAUUUCCUUGUCUUACAAGUGGUCCAUCGUCACUUAGAACUGAGGACUGCCUAGUAUAUGCAUACGUUGUAUUGGCUCUUCUCCUGUCUUUUGUGGCUUAUGACUAUCAGGAAAUUGGAUUUCUGAUGACACUAUUUAGCAUGUUUCAUGCUUGUGUCGGGUUCAUUUUACCGUCACUUGCCAGAUUGAGGACCAUGUAUGUGCCUAAUGAAUUGCGUGGAGGAAUGAUGGGCCUUUCUAUUGCUCCUGCAAAUGCAGCAAUUCUUCUUUCUGUGGUACAGGGUGGUUAUUAUCGGAAUGUUGGAAAUUCAGCAUUAAUGGCAUUUGGUGUGCUUGGUUUAUUGCUAGCAGCUGUUUGCAUGCAUGCCCUGAAGCAAUUGGGAAAGCAACCGUAUCACAAUUGGCAUAAACAGUGAAUGGAUAUCCCUUUGGCAGGCUUUGUUUAGUGGUGGCUGUCUCUCUCUCCUGUUGACAGAAAUGAGUAGUCAGGAGAUCAAACUUCGAUGAGGCAAAUGCAGACGAAGAGCAAUAAAUUUCUGAAGUCUUACACACUUUGCUGCUUGGGUUUGCUAAUGGAAUCUAGUCAACAACCGCACAUGCUUUCGAAGGUGGUAUCUGAAUUUUUAUGUGCUUACGCAUGCCAGUUUUGUCCAGAAAUGCAUCUAAAGACGAGGAGGUGAAAACUAAUUCUUGUUUUAUUAAUGUGAUCACUGUAUGGUAAUUGACGUGUUUUAGCUCUAGCUUAUUAGUUAAUACUUAAUACUUAUUCUAAAUUAUAAAACAUAUCACGCGACUAACCCCAACAUGUUAUGAAGUUUAUGACAAAAAAAAAGAAGUUAUUUUUCUAAAGUUACAAUGAAAACAUUCCAAACUGUGGCCUGUCGUGAUGUAGCCACGAACGGUAGGUAGAAUGAUACAAUUCAGCUUGUAGCUUAACUUUUUAAUCGUUUGUAAUUUUUUUUCCAAAGAAGAAAGUAUCUUUUAACUUUAAAUAUAAUUAUUAGUAAAAUUUUUCACUUAAUUAUUUUUUUUUUAUCAAGGAUAGAAAGACUCGA
This is an RNA transcript of Arachis duranensis, 2276 nucleotides long. RefSeq lists it as uncharacterized. The transcript has 10 exons. Lineage: Eukaryota; Viridiplantae; Streptophyta; Magnoliopsida; Fabales; Fabaceae. The record is from RefSeq and is a predicted model, not a curated record.